This 239-nucleotide ribosomal RNA is filed under the name Enterobacteriaceae bacterium. RNAcentral describes it as "partial 16S ribosomal RNA". It matches the Rfam family "Bacterial small subunit ribosomal RNA", at positions 533 to 771 of the family's 1533-position model. Lineage: Bacteria; Pseudomonadati; Pseudomonadota; Gammaproteobacteria; Enterobacterales; Enterobacteriaceae. The record is from RNAcentral.
UGCAAGCGUUAAUCGGAAUUACUGGGCGUAAAGCGCACGCAGGCGGUUUGUUAAGUCAGAUGUGAAAUCCCCGCGCUUAACGUGGGAACUGCAUUUGAAACUGGCAAGCUAGAGUCUUGUAGAGGGGGGUAGAAUUCCAGGUGUAGCGGUGAAAUGCGUAGAGAUCUGGAGGAAUACCGGUGGCGAAGGCGGCCCCCUGGACAAAGACUGACGCUCAGGUGCGAAAGCGUGGGGAGCAA